RNAcentral lists this transfer RNA (56 nucleotides) under Bos taurus (domestic cattle). It matches the Rfam family "tRNA", at positions 9 to 63 of the family's 71-position model. From Rfam's summary of the family: Transfer RNA (tRNA) molecules are approximately 80 nucleotides in length. Their secondary structure includes four short double-helical elements and three loops (D, anti-codon, and T loops). Lineage: Eukaryota; Metazoa; Chordata; Mammalia; Artiodactyla; Bovidae. The record is from Rfam by way of RNAcentral. RNAcentral also lists the same sequence under 5 other names.
AGCUCAGUUGGUAAAGAAUCUGCCUGCAAUGCAGAAGACCCAGGUUCAAUUCCUGG